AACGAACGCUGGCGGCAUGCCUAACACAUGCAAGUCGAACGAGACCUUCGGGUCUAGUGGCGCACGGGUGCGUAACGCGUGGGAACCUGCCCUUAGGUUCGGAAUAACUCCCCGAAAGGGGUGCUAAUACCGGAUAAUGUCUUCGGACCAAAGAUUUAUCGCCUUUGGAUGGGCCCGCGUUGGAUUAGCUAGUUGGUAGGGUAAAAGCCUACCAAGGCGACGAUCCAUAGCUGGUCUGAGAGGAUGAUCAGCCACACUGGGACUGAGACACGGCCCAGACUGAUAAGGGAGGCAGGAGGGGGGGAUGUUGGACACGGGUGGGAAGACUGGUAAAGCAAUGGCGGGUGAGUGAUGAAGGGCGUAGGGGGGUAAAGCGGUUUGGCCAGGGAGGAUAAGGACAGUGCCGGGAAUAUAAGCUGCGGCUAACUCCGUG
This 433-nucleotide ribosomal RNA is filed under the name uncultured bacterium. RNAcentral describes it as "partial 16S ribosomal RNA". It matches the Rfam family "Bacterial small subunit ribosomal RNA", at positions 29 to 507 of the family's 1533-position model. The record is from RNAcentral.